This 68-nucleotide transfer RNA is filed under the name Magallana angulata. RNAcentral's name for it is "tRNA-Lys". Lineage: Eukaryota; Metazoa; Mollusca; Bivalvia; Ostreida; Ostreidae. The record is from RNAcentral.
AGCUUCAAAGCCUAGUUUUUGGCAGCAUUAUUUUAAAAUGCUAUGAGUAAUCAGUUUACUUGAAGUUU